Oryza sativa Japonica Group (Japanese rice) is the source of this 1142-nucleotide long non-coding RNA. RefSeq lists it as uncharacterized. NCBI's taxonomy places the organism in Eukaryota, Viridiplantae, Streptophyta, Magnoliopsida, Poales, Poaceae. The record is from RefSeq and is a predicted model, not a curated record.
UGCUGUCCCCCGUCACUCCAAGCCGCUGCGGCCCCGUCCAAGCCAUGGAAUUGAUGGCCUCCCUCAACGCCGACCCUUCCCCCGUCGCUCCAAGCCGCCCGCUCCUCUCCUCAAUGACGCAACAGGCAACAGCUCCUCUUGACGGCGACGCCCAAAUCCCAUCGCCUCCAAUCCCGUCUACAGAUGGCCCACAGUUUGCCUCCUCCUUCCCUCCCAAGCCGUCUCCCGGUCCUUCACCUGCCCGUCCGGCCACCCCUCUGAACAUGCGAUUUUUCUGAUCCUGUACAGCUCCAUGGGCUGAGGGACUGCAGGAAGUUUGCGGUCGGCAGGGCUCUGGUCGCCUCGUCGGCGUUGCCCUCAAAUACUCCAAGGUGUUGUCCUGGCCACUGACUUCGAAGCAAUCUGUGCUCCGGUUGGAGGUGGCGGAGCACUGGUACCGGCUCUACAAGACGGACAAUCAAGGGGUACCACAAUCCGGCUCCACCUCGACGCCAUUCUGGCAACCACGAAAACCUCACGCUCCAAUCUAUGCCCUCCGCCUGUGCUCGCUGCAUCUCGUGCCACCGUCUCGGCCUCUCGAUCGUCAUGGCCUGAAUUAUUCUAAUUCUUCGUUACAAGUUUUUUUUUUUAAUGAUCUUGGCUACCAUUUUGGUGCUGAGACUAAUAUGACUCCCAUCAAACAAUGCAGUUGAGAGUGAGUUCUUACCUGCAUUAUAUAGUACAUUGUAUUUAAACCAUAGUACAUGGGGACAGUGGUGCGUUCAGUGCUAACACUCAAAUCAAUUUAUGGAUUGUGGUAAGCUGGUAGUUGUUUGAUUUGUCACUAAAAUUGCACGACGACAACACUUUGUGUUAGCUGGGCAACUAAAUCAGUCAGACUCCGGUGAGUUUCAGAGGCUCCAGGAGGUGGAAAGACAUCUUGGGUGAUGCAUGGAUGCAAGGAAAACUGGAGACUGGAAGAUUAAACUAAUGGAAACUAAUGGAACAGAUGCAACCAUUGCCAAUGGAGCAGACUCCUCUCAGUUAGUAAUAUCUCCUUCCAGCUUAUAUCUGUAUUGUCUGUAGGUAUUCUUGUUUUCUGCCCAGUGUUAAAUUCCAAUCAAAGAAAAUGGGAAUGAAUUUUUAUUUAAGCUUCUUUCCUA